RNAcentral lists this long non-coding RNA (255 nucleotides) under Cercocebus atys (sooty mangabey). RNAcentral's name for it is "lncRNA (ENSCATG00000045744.1)". Lineage: Eukaryota; Metazoa; Chordata; Mammalia; Primates; Cercopithecidae. The record is from RNAcentral.
CACGGUGGAAAAAGAGAGCGAGCGAGAGCGGGGGGGGGGGGGGGGAGGAGAGAGAGAGAGAGAGAGAGAGAGAAAGAGAGAGACCGUGGGCUUCCUGUCACCUUCUCUAACGGAGGAAGAGGAAUUUUCUAGACAAAGUGGUCCACGUUGAGUGAUUAAGCACCAGAGUUCUUGCCUUGUCUUAUGACAACCUGACUGUUUGUAUGUAUGUAUUCUUUAUCAAAUUGGAAUAAAAAACAAGGAAUUGUGUUUACC